RNAcentral lists this ribosomal RNA (497 nucleotides) under uncultured bacterium. RNAcentral describes it as "partial 16S ribosomal RNA". It matches the Rfam family "Bacterial small subunit ribosomal RNA", at positions 28 to 507 of the family's 1533-position model. The record is from RNAcentral.
GAUGAACGCUGGCGGCGUGCCUAAUACAUGCAAGUCGAGCGAACAGAUAAGGAGCUUGCUCCUUUGACGUUAGCGGCGGACGGGUGAGUAACACGUGGGUAACCUACCUAUAAGACUGGAAUAACUCCGGGAAACCGGGGCUAAUGCCGGAUAACAUGUUGAACCGCAUGGUUCUACAGUGAAAGGCGCCUUUGCUGUCUCUUAUAGAUGGACCCGCGCCGUAUUAGCUAGUUGUUGAGGUAACGGCUCACCAAGGCAACGAUACGUAGCCGACCUGAGAGGGUGAUCGGCCACACUGGAACUGAGACACGGUCCAGACUCCUACGGGAGGCAGCAGUAGGGAAUCUUCCGCAAUGGGCGAAAGCCUGACGGAGCAACGCCGCGUGAGUGAUGAAGGUCUUCGGAUCGUAAAACUCUGUUAUUAGGGAAGAACAAAUGCGUAAGUAACUGUGCGCGUCUUGACGGUACCUAAUCAGAAAGCCACGGCUAACUACGUG